UGUAAGCUCCUUGCCGCUUUCCAAUGGAGCGCGAAUGCACACUGUCCUCGGCCAGGGUUCUGAGCUGGGCCAAUCUUCCCGGGCAGGGCCCAGGGCAGUGUCUCCUUGGGGUGGUGCCCCCAAUGCCCACAGGGAGGCAGGGCCACAGUGAGUCAUAGGGGCGCGACGACUCUGUCACUUGAAGGGCUCAGGGAGUAGCUCUGCUCUCCUUGUCUCUCCACCCCCUACUUCUGCAGUCCUCAUCCCAUCUAGCCUGAAGCAGGGCCGAGCUGGGCUACAGUGUGUCUGUCUUGAGCUGCAGAAACUUGACUCUUUAACUGGGACAGACAGUGCUGUCAAGACAAAGCUUCCAAGGAUACAGCCUCUCCAGCACCUUAAAUUUAUCCAACAGACUUCUGCCAGUCUGUCUAAAAUAACAGAGAAGUAGAGGUGAUUCCUGCUCUUCCUCUUUGAACUUGGGCCAGCCUUGUGAUUUGCCUUGACCAACUGGACAUGGAGGAAGUGAUACUGUGCCGGUGCUUAGCCCGGCCUUUUAGAGGCCUGGCAUCUUCAGCUCUCUCUCAGGAGAAUACUUGUACCUGGAUCUUCACUAGGGGCAGCCAGGGCAGAAUGCGGUGUUCUCAAGACUGCCAUGCUGGCUCAUCCAUACCUUGUUGGACUUGAUAAGUAUCGUAACCUAAUGAAGGAUGCCAUUCUGUGCUCUGCAAGGCCUGGGGGAGCCCCAGUGGGAAGGGAUCCAGAUGGUGCUGGGCCUGGGCCAAAAGUGAAAUGGGGGAGGACGGGUCCUUUCUCUCCUUUGUCCCUAACCUCCCCACUUCCUACUGCUGUCUGACUCAGAACCCUCAUGAAAAACCCAACUUUUUACACUGAUAUUUCCCAGAGGCCUAAUUGUGCAACAAGAAAUAAAAACACAAUUAGGGAACUGAGGUCCAGCAGGAAAUUCAUGUUACAUAAAUAAGACCUGGAGUGCAUAGGGGAGUGCCCCAGCUCUCAGCCUUGUUAGUAUUGAAGGCUCCGAGCACACAGAUCUGGGAUCCUCUGAUUUGGUGGAUAACCCUUGUGAACAAUAAUUCUCUGAAAAGGUAUUUGGAGGAAAGAGACUUUAUUCCUGUAAACAGUUUUCAAACUAGGGGAAUGCAGCUUUCAGUGUAAAAUGAAGGUGCUUUCCAGACAACAAAGGAGGGGCUGGGCUUUUAUAGAGAAAGUUCCUGCCCUGUUCCCACUCAGGUCCACUUAUGCAAAUAAAGGAUUCAAACUUGCUUAAUCUGAUUGGUUGAUGCUUGCUGAGUUCUGAUUUGUUGACACAGGUCAUAGUCUAUUGGUUGGUUCCGGCAACAUAAACAAGAACAGGAAGCUAUGAAAGUCCCAAAGUUAAGCAGAUGUGGGUUUUCUGGGAACUCAAAAACAUGUGUGACUUCUAGUCAGCAAGUUGCCGCUUGGCUCUAAAUUGAAUUUAGGCCCUGUUAGCCAGAGUGUGAACCUUGAGAGAGCCGGCCUUUCAAGGUUCACACUCUUCACAUGGGCUGGAGAGAUUCCUAUCAUAACUGAUUUAUCCAUUCACCCAUUGACAGGCACUUGGAUUGCUUCCACCUUUAGGGUGUUGUGGACAACAUCAACACUGCUACAAACAUGGGUGGACAAAAGGCUAGUUCUCCUCAACCAUGGUGUAUGUAGCUGGAGGGAAAAUGCCAAAAGCUGCAUUAUGAGAAACAGUAAAGUCAAAACUGGAAAGAUGGAUCAAAGCGUGAUGUCUCCCUGAAGCCCCUCCUACUAGGCUUGAGGUGAAGGAGAAGCACAGGAAGAAAAGUGCCUCAGUGCUCCAACAACUUUUUCCAAAGAAGCCCUCUUUCUCAUUUCCAACUUUAAACCUUUUAAAACUUUGAUUGGCAUAGAGCUAAGGGUUGGAGAACAUUGUCACUUCCCUCCUUUGCAAGUCUGUGUGGAUAGUUGUAUGUUAUCUCCAAAGGUGGCCACCAUCAUUUCCUUCUCUCCCUAUAUGUGAUUUCCUUCUCUAUUGGCUCCAUUCAUCAAGAAGUAGAGGCGAUUCCUGCUCUUCCUCUUUGAACUUGGGCCAGUCCUGUGAUUUGCCUUGACCAAUUGGACAUGGAGGAAGUGAUACUGUGCCAGUGCUUAGCCUGGCCUUUGAGAGGCCUGGCAUCUUCAGCUCUCUCUCAGGAGAGAAUGCAGCAGGCAUGUAAGAAGGCUGAUGAAUCAGACCACCAUAUUAUGAGGAAGCCCAAGCUAGCCACAUGGAAAUGGCACACAAAGGAAAGCUGAGGAACGAAACCAACAGAAGCAUCAGGUCCCCAGCCAUAUGACCCAGUUAAGCCACCUUAGCUAUGUGGUAUUCCAGGCUCUUAGCAUGCUGAAGCUGGGAGGGAGCUUCGAGAUGAUGAGGACGCCAGGGCCUCCAUGAGGGGCUGCCCUGGUGAACACAGGCCCUGGUACUGAAUAAGCUCUUCCCGGUUCUAACUCGACUUUCAUGGUGUCAUUUUUGCGAGGUGCAUCUCUGAUCUGCCUCCAGUAAAUAAACGGCUGAAACAGAA
RNAcentral lists this long non-coding RNA (2546 nucleotides) under Homo sapiens (human). RNAcentral describes it as "HSALNT0160669". Lineage: Eukaryota; Metazoa; Chordata; Mammalia; Primates; Hominidae. The record is from RNAcentral.